RNAcentral lists this ribosomal RNA (492 nucleotides) under uncultured bacterium. RNAcentral describes it as "partial 16S ribosomal RNA". It matches the Rfam family "Bacterial small subunit ribosomal RNA", at positions 29 to 507 of the family's 1533-position model. The record is from RNAcentral.
AGUGAACGCUGGCGGUAGGCCUAACACAUGCAAGUCGAACGGCAGCACAGUAAGAGCUUGCUCUUACGGGUGGCGAGUGGCGGACGGGUGAGGAAUACAUCGGAAUCUACUUUUUCGUGGGGGAUAACGUAGGGAAACUUACGCUAAUACCGCAUACGACCUACGGGUGAAAGCAGGGGAUCUUCGGACCUUGCGCGAUUGAAUGAGCCGAUGUCGGAUUAGCUAGUUGGCGGGGUAAAGGCCCACCAAGGCGACGAUCCGUAGCUGGUCUGAGAGGAUGAUCAGCCACACUGUAACUGAGACACGGUCCAGACUCCUACGGGAGGCAGCAGUGGGGAAUAUUGGACAAUGGGCGCAAGCCUGAUCCAGCCAUACCGCGUGGGUGAAGAAGGCCUUCGGGUUGUAAAGCCCUUUUGUCGGGAAAGAAAAGCAGCAGGUUAAUACCCCGCUGUUCUGACGGUACCCAAAGAAUAAGCACCGGCUAACUUCGUG